This is a long non-coding RNA of Nanorana parkeri, 165 nucleotides long. RefSeq lists it as uncharacterized. The record is from RefSeq and is a predicted model, not a curated record. Lineage: Eukaryota; Metazoa; Chordata; Amphibia; Anura; Dicroglossidae. The transcript has 4 exons.
AUGAAGGGGAUCCUGCUGAUGAAGCUCUACUAGGACAUCUGAUGAUUGUUGGCAAGAAAUGCAUUGCCUAUCUGGGCUUGGCAAAUUGCUUUCGGCUGGUCAUCAAUGAGAGUACAGAUGGUGGACAGUUUGUGCACCACAUUCACCUGCAUGUUCUUGGUGGAC